Molecule: ribosomal RNA, 854 nt
Filed under: Fomitiporia sp.
Lineage: Eukaryota; Fungi; Basidiomycota; Agaricomycetes; Hymenochaetales; Hymenochaetaceae
Description: eukaryotic LSU rRNA
Rfam family: Eukaryotic large subunit ribosomal RNA
Source: RNAcentral
CCCCUAGUACUGCGAGUAGAAGCGGGAAAAGCUCAAAUUUAAAAUCUGGUGGUCUUUGGCCAUCCGAGUUGUAGUCUGGAGAAGUGCUUUCCGCGCUGGACCGUAUACAAGUCUCUUGGAACAGAGCGUCAUAGAGGGUGAGAAUCCCGUCUUUGAUACGGACUACCAGUGCUUUGUGAUGCGCUCUCAAAGAGUCGAGUUGUUUGGGAAUGCAGCUCAAAAUGGGUGGUAAAUUCCAUCUAAAGCUAAAUAUUGGCGAGAGACCGAUAGCGAACAAGUACCGUGAGGGAAAGAUGAAAAGCACUUUGGAAAGAGAGUUAAACAGUACGUGAAAUUGCUGAAAGGGAAACGCUUGAAGUCAGUCGCGUUGGCCAGGACUCAGCCUUGCUUUUUUGCUUGGUGCACUUUCUGGUUGAUGGGCCAGCAUCGAUUUUGACCGCUGGAAAAAGGCUAGGGGAAUGUGGCACCUUCGGGUGUGUUAUAGCCCUUAGUCACAUACGGUGGUUGGGAUCGAGGACCGCAGCACGCCUUCAAUGGCCGGGGUUCGCCCACGUUCGUGCUUAGGAUGCUGGCGUAAUGGCUUUAAACGACCCGUCUUGAAACACGGACCAAGGAGUCUAACAUGCUGCGAGUGUUUGGGUGGUAAACCCGAGCGCGUAAUGAAAGUGAAAGUUGAGAUCCCUGUCGUGGGGAGCAUCGACGCCCGGACCUGAUCUUCGGUGAUGGCUCUGCGGUAGAGCAUGUAUGUUGGGACCCGAAAGAUGGUGAACUAUGCCUGAAUAGGGUGAAGCCAGAGGAAACUCUGGUGGAGGCUCGUAGCGAUUCUGACGUGCAAAUCGAUCGUCAAAUUUGGG